Long non-coding RNA from Oreochromis aureus, 2424 nucleotides. NCBI's taxonomy places the organism in Eukaryota, Metazoa, Chordata, Actinopteri, Cichliformes, Cichlidae. The record is from Ensembl.
AGAAGAGAAGCAGCAUUAAACCAUCAGAGCUCUGAGAUGAAACACACUUUGGUCUGCUUCAUCUUCCUCACAGCACUUCAGGAUGGAAACACUGGUUUGGUCAAAGCACAAACUCUCACCCACAGAGCAGAGGAAGGAGGAAACAUCACAGUUAAAUGCAGCUUUUAUUUCUCUGGAAGCAGGAAACUCUUCUGUAAGGAAAAAUGUGAAAAUGGAAACAUUCUUGUUGAAACAUCUGAUGAUGCAGCUCAGAACGGCAGAUACAGCAUUAAAUAUGAAAUCAAAGGCUUUUUCUCAUAUACUCUGUAUGUGAGCAUCACACAGCUGAAACAGUCUGACUCAGGACGGUACAGGUGCUCUUUGGACAGAAUUUUUGAUACAGGGAAAGAUGAGUUUGAGCUGAUUGUCACAGCAGCUUCAACCACUUCAACACCAAACGGGACUCUGAGACCUUUUUCAGCUUCAGUGUUUCUCUCAUCAGCCUCCACACCACCAACAACACAGAGUUUAAGCUCAACUUCAGGAAGCUCCACACCUUCAUCAGCCUCUGCGCCACCAAAAAUGGAAACAACACAGAGUUUAAGCUCAACUUCAGGAAGCUCCACACCUUCAUCAGCCUCCACUGAAACCAAAGAUGCAAGAUCAGAUGUGCUGAUUUAUGUGGGUCUGAUUCUGGUCGUUAUGAUCGUCGUCUUAUCAGCAGCUCUGCUGAUUUUCUGCAUGAGGAGGAAGACCACUAAACCCAGAGGACCUCCUGUGGAAACAGAGUAUGCUGACACGCAGGCCGACAGGUUGUAUGAAGAGAUCAGAGAGUGUGACAUGCCGAGCAGGUCACCUCCUGUCGAAGUGUCUUCAGUUUAUGCCACUGCUAAAGACCCCCGUUCAGAUGGAGUUGAAAAUAUAGACCUCUACAGCCUUGCAACCUCUCCUCAUAACAAUGCAGAUAACCUCUGCUACGCUGAAGUGGAGUUUUCCCACAUUCCUGCCACCAGCAGCGCCCCCUGUGGUGAAGCAACUGAUGUUGUCUACUCAGUGCCUCAGGUGGACCUGAGUACUGCCAGCCACACCAAAGAUGCUUCACCUCCUGUGUACUCUACUGUUUCCUCACUAUGAAUUACUUCAGUACUUUUUUUAAACCUGUCCUGUCCAGCAGCUGUAACAAGCGUAAUGUCUGAAUGCUUUGUUUUGCCAAACAUAUUUGCUUUCCCAAGAGGGGCACUGUAGGCUCUCUGUAGGCUCCUCUUUUUAGGUUUUUGUUUUAUUUAUUUAAUCCUAUUAUUCAUAUUUUUCUGUGUAUGGGUGGGGGAAAAUCGAGGAUGAAGCCAACAGACAUGCUGGGUCUCCAACUGCUACAUCUGUGACAAAGUACACAAACAAUAAGCAACACCUGAAAGACAAAACACAGUGUGUGUGUGUGUGUGUGUGUGUGUGUGUGUGUGUGUGUGUGUGUGUGUGUGUGUGUGUGUGUGUGUGUGUGUGUGUGUGUGUGUGUGUGUGUGUGUGAACCAGAAAGAGAGAAGAUGGGAGUGUGUAUGAUUGUUUGUAAUGAAACACAUUUGAAAAAUGAGGGUGAAGGCCUGGGAAAGACCCAAGAGACCCCAGCUUUCCACAGCUCCCAAGAGACCUGAAGAUCUUAAUCUCAACAACCAUACAUUCUAUCCUAGCCGAGGGAAGAUGGAGGCCGGACGGAGCUCCUAUAGCCAGCAGGCAACCAACCCCGCUGGCCACCCCAGCAUGAGGCAAAGGCGGGACUCAGUAACUGCCCAACACCCAGCAGAGCCCCCACCGCACAACGAAGAGGCCCAAGCUAGCCCUGGACACACACAGCCAUCCCCACACUCUGAAGUGUGGAUGGACAGGUGCCUUCCCAUAGCCAGCAGUGAUCCCGGGACGCAGUCAGCCAGUCCCCCGAUCACCAGCCAGACACGACAUCAGCCAGGGUGGUGAUAAUUACAUGAGCACUUAAGCUAUGGGUGAAACCUAUACAAAAGUUAGUUUAUUUUUCUACUUUUGACAUAUUUAUAACUUCAAUGCACAGUCACAUAGCCUCAGGUUAAAGCUGUUUUUAUUACAGCUGCUUAUAAUUCAGCUCAACAGAUACAAAAAAUGUUGCUAUUAUGAUUUUGUAGGAUAGAUGAAACCGUUGCAGGAAACAGACUGCUAUCAUUUAAGGACAUGAUAUAAGGAAAACAAAAAGUGAAGAGAUACAGUAAACUACAUGUUUUUAAUGAAAAUAAAUAUGAACAUUGGCAGUUUUAACAGUGUCUGGUUUUUAUUUUCUUUUAUAAAAUAUCUUAUAGAUAUUAAAAUAUACACAUUUCCUUCACUUCUGCAGUGGAAGUAUUUAGACUCUUCUUCAUACAGAGGAUAUUGAAAAAGAAAUCAACUGGACUUCUUAAACUUUUUGAAGAUGCUUCAUCCAGG